Molecule: microRNA precursor, 67 nt
Filed under: Triops cancriformis
Lineage: Eukaryota; Metazoa; Arthropoda; Branchiopoda; Notostraca; Triopsidae
Description: microRNA tcf-mir-10327 precursor
Source: miRBase by way of RNAcentral
UAGACCGCGCAAUUCAGAAACAUAGGAUUUGACUUCUGCUUGCUGCUUUUGAAUUGCGCGGUCUAGC